This 301-nucleotide ribosomal RNA is filed under the name uncultured bacterium. RNAcentral's name for it is "partial 16S ribosomal RNA". It matches the Rfam family "Bacterial small subunit ribosomal RNA", at positions 509 to 807 of the family's 1533-position model. The record is from RNAcentral.
CAGUAGCCACGGUAAUACGUAGGGUGCAAGCGUUAAUCGGAAUUGCUGGGCGUAAAGCGUGCGCAGGCGGUUUGUUAAGACAGAUGUGAAAUCCCCGGGCUCAACCUGGGAACUGCAUUUGUGACUGGCAGGCUAGAGUAUGGCAGAGGGGGGUGGAAUUCCGCGUGUAGCAGUGAAAUGCAUAGAUAUGCCACAGAACACCGAUUGCGAAGGCAGCUUACCAAGGCAAAAUUGACGCUGAGGCACGAAAGCGUGGGGAUCGAACAGGAUUAGAUACCCCCGUAGUCCCUGUCUCUUAUAC